GUAACACGUGGGCAACCUGCCCCUAGCUCUGGGACAACUCCGGGAAACCGGGGCUAAUACCGGAUAUGACAUCUGGCGGCAUCGUCGGGUGUGGAAAGUUCUUCGGCUAGGGAUGGGCCCGCGGCCUAUCAGCUUGUUGGUGGGGAGAUGGCCUACCAAGGCGACGACGGGUAGCCGGUCUGAGAGGGCGACCGGCCACACUGGGACUGAGACACGGCCCAUACUCCUACGGGAGGCAGCAGUGGGGAAUAUUGCGCAAUGGUGGAAGCCUGACGCAGCGACGCCGCGUGGGGGAUGAAGGCCUUCGGGUUGUAAACCUCUUUCAGCAGGGACGAAUUCAGACGGUACCUGCAGAAGAAGCACCGGCCAACUACGUGCCAGCAGCCGCGGUAAUACGUAGGGUGCAAGCGUUGUCCGGAAUUAUUGGGCGUAAAGAGCUCGUAGGCGGUCUGUCGCGUCGGCUGUGAAAACUUGGGGCUCAACCCCAAGCCUGCAGCCGAUACGGGCAGACUAGAGUGCGGUAGGGGAGACUGGAAUUCCUGGUGUAGCGGUGAAAUGCGCAGAUAUCAGGAGGAACACCGGUGGCGAAGGCGGGUCUCUGGGCCGUAACUGACGCUGAGGAGCGAAAGCGUGGGGAGCGAACAGGAUUAGAUACCCUGGUAGUCCACGCCGUAAACGGUGGGUGCUAGGUGUAGGCGGUAUUCCACGCCGUCUGUGCCGCAGCUAACGCAUUAAGCACCCCGCCUGGGGAGUACGGCCGCAAGGCUAAAACUCAAAGGAAUUGACGGGGGCCCGCACAAGCAGCGGAGCAUGUGGCUUAAUUCGACGCAACGCGAAGAACCUUACCAAGGCUUGACAUGCAGGGAAAUCCUCCAGAGAUGGGGGGUCCGCAAGGGUCCUGCACAGGUGGUGCAUGGUUGUCGUCAGCUCGUGUCGUGAGAUGUUGGGUUAAUUUCCGCGAGCGAGGCAAACCUCCUUGUAUGUUUCCAACCGUUCGGUCGGGGACUCAUAGGAGACUGCCGGGGUCAACUCGGAGGAAGGUGGGGAUGACGUCAAAUCAUCAUGCCCCUUAUGUUUUGGGCUGCACACAUGUUACAAUGGUCGGUACAAA
Molecule: ribosomal RNA, 1111 nt
Filed under: uncultured bacterium
Lineage: Bacteria
Description: bacterial SSU rRNA
Rfam family: Bacterial small subunit ribosomal RNA
Source: RNAcentral